RNAcentral lists this ribosomal RNA (417 nucleotides) under uncultured beta proteobacterium. RNAcentral describes it as "bacterial SSU rRNA". It matches the Rfam family "Bacterial small subunit ribosomal RNA", at positions 9 to 429 of the family's 1533-position model. The record is from RNAcentral. Lineage: Bacteria; Pseudomonadati; Pseudomonadota; Betaproteobacteria.
GAGUUUGAUCCUGGCUCAGAUUGAACGCUGGCGGCAUGCCUUACACAUGCAAGUCGAGCGGCAGCGCGGGGGCAACCCUGGCGGCGAGCGGCGAACGGGUGAGUAAUGCAUCGGAACGUGUCCUCUUGUGGGGGAUAACCAGUCGAAAGACUGGCUAAUACCGCAUGAGAUCGAGAGAUGAAAGCAGGGGACCGCAAGGCCUUGCGCGAGAGGAGCGGCCGAUGCCGGAUUAGCUAGUUGGUGGGGUAAAAGCCUACCAAGGCGACGAUCCGUAGCUGGUCCGAGAGGACGACCAGCCACACUGGGACUGAGACACGGCCCAGACUCCUACGGGAGGCAGCAGUGGGGAAUUUUGGACAAUGGGGGCAACCCUGAUCCAGCCAUGCCGCGUGUGUGAAGAAGGCCUUCGGUUGUAAG